Heterocephalus glaber (naked mole-rat) is the source of this 77-nucleotide small nucleolar RNA. Its record names the gene SNORD79. It matches the Rfam family "Small nucleolar RNA SNORD79". From Rfam's summary of the family: snoRNA U79 or Z22 is found in intron 7 of the gas5 gene in humans and is also present in mice. U79 is a member of the C/D class of snoRNA which contain C (UGAUGA) and D (CUGA) box motifs. The record is from Ensembl. NCBI's taxonomy places the organism in Eukaryota, Metazoa, Chordata, Mammalia, Rodentia, Bathyergidae.
UUUUGUUAGUGAUGAUGUUUAAACAGAUGGGUAUAUCUCUGAAAGAGAAUGAAGCCUAAUUUGAAACUGAAACAGUA